UAGAGUUUGAUCAUGGCUCAGAUUGAACGCUGGCGGCAGGCCUAACACAUGCAAGUCGAGCGGUAACAUGUCUAGCUUGCUAGAUGAUGACGAGCGGCGGACGGGUGAGUAAUGCUUGGGGAUCUGCCUUAGAGUGGAGGAUAACCAUUGGAAACGAUGGCUAAUACUGCAUAGUAUCUGCGGAUUAAAGGGGGCUUCGGCUCUUGCUUUAAGAUGAACCCAAGUGGGAUUAGCUAGUUGGUGUGGUAAUGGCUCACCAAGGCGACGAUCCCUAGCUGGUCUGAGAGGAUGAUCAGCCACACUGGAACUGAGACACGGUCCAGACUCCUACGGGAGGCAGCAGUGGGGAAUAUUGCACAAUGGGCGAAAGCCUGAUGCAGCCAUGCCGCGUGUGUGAAGAAGGCCCUAGGGUUGUAAAGCACUUUCAGUCAGGAGGAAAGGUUAGUAGUUAAUACCUGCUAGCUGUGACGUUACUGACAGAAGAAGCACCGGCUAACUUCGUGCCAGCAGCCGCGGUAAUACGAGGGGUGCAAGCGUUAAUCGGAAUUACUGGGCGUAAAGCGAGCGUAGGCGGCUGAAUAAGCUGGAUGUGAAAAACCGGGGCUCAACCUCGGCCGUGCAUUCAGAACUGUUUAGCUAGAGUCCUGUAGAGGGGGGUAGAAUUUCA
This 667-nucleotide ribosomal RNA is filed under the name uncultured Vibrionaceae bacterium. RNAcentral describes it as "bacterial SSU rRNA". It matches the Rfam family "Bacterial small subunit ribosomal RNA", at positions 1 to 671 of the family's 1533-position model. The record is from RNAcentral. Lineage: Bacteria; Pseudomonadati; Pseudomonadota; Gammaproteobacteria; Vibrionales; Vibrionaceae.